GCUUUAAAGUCAUCUGCUAAAAACAACAACAACAACAACAAACGCUUGCCUUCACUAAUGGGGAUAUUGAGGCUCAGAGAGCAUAAGUGAGUUAUAUGCUGGAAGUUAGAAUAGGCUUGAAUCAGGAAUAGGUUCCAGGUGUCCACAUGUUACUGUCAGAAGGAACUAUACAAAUUUGUUAGUUUUACUCUUCUUCUUUCCCCAAAGAGAAUUUGAUAUGAAUUCUAGGAAUCCUGGCUUCUUCCCAGAAUAUAGUCUUUUUUUCACUUAUCUUUUUUUGAAUGAAUCAAGAACUCCUUUAGCGUUUUAAAUAUUACCGAUGCCAUAUAGGAAAUUAUUAGUGCCAGGCAUUGGGUAUAUAGAGAUGUAUGUAUCAAGAAUAUUAACGAAAAGUGGACUUAAUUCCAGUGCCACCUAUUAAUGGGUUUAAUUUCUUCAAUUUCUAAUAGCUGUUAGCUGCUGUAUGGAUCCAUACGUGCUGAAUGGGAUGUCUUGAGGUUAUCAGCUUCCUGCUGACAGCCAAAAUGGUCUCAGGACUUUUUAGGGAGCAUCAGCAUAGUCUAAGUGAAGAUUGACGUGUGUUUGUGUAUAAAAUCUGACACAGCUUUGGAAGAAAGGAGAAACUGGUUUUUAUGCUUAACUGCCUAAUAAACUAUGCGAUUUGGGGAACAUUACAUUUUCUCCCUGAACCUUGGCUUUGUUAAACUAUGUUCCCCAGGUACUUUGACAUCUAAAGAACAGUUGAUGACUCCCUGAAUUUAUCAUUAAGAGUUGAUGGAAUGAUAGGAAUUAUAACUAAAGAUGUUGAGCAGAUGACAUUUAUAAGUUUAAUUAUUUUCAUUAUGACCAUAAUUAUAGUCACAGGCCCUUGAAAUAUAAGAGCAUUUCACUGAGUAAUUGCUUAUUAUAUCCUGGUGUUAAUGGGCACCAAGGCCAGGCUUUUGCUUUUAUUGGCCACACAGGUGAUGUUUCUCCAUUAUUCCCUUGCAUCACCAUAUUGAAAGACAUGGGUCAGUGUUAUUUCUACAAGAAGAACAAAUUAUGUAAACUCUGAAGACAUCCCCAGACUGAAAAUACAGACAGAAGCAUUCUAGUGUGAGUUCCCCUGUUUAUGAGAGCUUGAAUUAAUCAUAGAAUUACUGGACGUCAGUUCCUACCAUUGUAACGUGAAGUUCUUGUGCCAGAUUAUUUCAUAGCUAGAGGACUUGCAUAUACUUCCUUCACUAGGGUAGUUCUUAACCUUGGCCAACUAAGUAGGCUGUGGGACUAAAAUGUGAGUUUCAUUUCCUUGUGCUUUGAAAUUUAACACCCUCUGGUGUACCGUGUGGAGGAGUAUUGUGAGAUUUCACCCCCGUACAGGACACUAUCAUCUAUUUGUGAUAGCUGUUAGGGUGGAAUUGCAUGCCCUGUGGUACCUUUUAUUAAGCUCAUGCUAAUUGCUAGAAUUUUUCUAGGCAUCGAGUGUCUUGGCAUAUUGAUGAGAGUGGUUGCUCCUCUAUAAUGUGUUACCAGGGGGAGCGUUAGGAUGUGGGAGGAGCCUAGGGUAAAUACUUGAAUUUUGUCUUGAGAUUCAUCAUUAUAUAUCAUUUUUAGGCAUCUACUGUCUUCCAAACACUAUGCAGUACAUACUAUUGUAUCUGAAAAUAAUACACCUAUAAACCGUAAUGAGAUACUAGUUCAGCUAUAUCAAUGAGAAGGCAGAAUUUAGGAGAAAAUAAGUAACUGAUUUUCAAAGUUUUCUAAUUUGCAUAAGAUGUUUUAUGAACAAAUCAACAGUUCCAGGAUUUCAACCUGCCCCUUACUGUUUCAAAGUCUGCCUUUGAAUAUGCAGAAAGCAAUAUUGCCAUAAUAUUAUUAAAAUCAGUAAAGUCUAUUUCAGGUAGGAUAUUGUGGAAUUACUUAAUUUUAUCAAUGAAGUAACUGAGAUCCAAAGCUAUUGAAAAGUUUACCUUCCCAAGGCAAGCAAAUGCCAGCCCUCGCAAUAGAUACUCAGAAUCCCUAGCUACCAAACCAAUAGUCUCUUACAAGAAGGAGAUUUUGUUAGUAAACAUAGUUCACCCCUGCCCCCAUGUGGAGAGUGCUUAUUAUAUGAGUUUACAGAUGAUGGCAUCAAGAAGAAAAGGGGAGAGUGUUUGUGUUGAUUGAGCACUUAUUUUGUGGAAGUUUUUGGAUGAGUCAAUUCUACCUUUAAUCCCCCUAAAGUCAUGAUGCGGCAGAGGCAGGCAGAGAUGCUGAUGUCAGAGGUUACUAGGUUUCAGAAGAGAGCAGAGACAAUUCAAAUUCUAUAUGGUUUGACUCAGAUUCUUCAGACGAAACACUUUGCAAAGUUUAAAUUUUUAGUUAAAUUUUAAAUGUUAGCCAGUUUGAAUUAUAGGAUAUAUAUGUCACCUCAUUAUUUGUUAAAUUUUAUAAUACUUCUCAAGUUCCUUCAUUCUCAUUUCUUCCCAGAAGACAAUAGUUUCUUUGAACUAUUACUGUUACAGUUUUGUUACGAGUCAUUAUUUGAGGUGUAAAUUGUGCAUAUUUGAAUCAUCUGUAAGCUUCUGCAAUCUAUAUUGAUGAGUUUGUCCUAUUGUGGCUCUAAAAUAGUGAUAAUAGCAGGAAAUGCAAUUCCUUUGAGUGUUUCAAAUACCUACAUAAGAGAUACACAUUCACAGAAUUGUGAAGUUUAAUUGUUGUUUGAAAAUUAAUGAUAUUAGCUUAUUGAUGUCAUCAUAGAUAUAUUUUUAGUAUCUUUAUUGUUUUGACUUUAAUGUAAGGCAGUGCAUAUUUGAAAGUGAAUUUAAUGGAUUCAUAGCAGAGAAGCUUAAAUUAUUCUGGUCAGUCUAGACUCAAUUAAGGGAGGAAGAGGGCUUAAAUAGAUUAAAUAGAUGAUAAACUGUUAGAAAGUAUUCUACUAAUUCUUAGCAAGAGUUUAGGCAGUCAAAUAUAACACCAGGCAGAGAGAGAGAGUAGUUGCUUCUCUAAUUUAGAGAAGGGAAUGGAGAUACGUAGUUCAGUACAUUGGACAGUUCUUUGGAAGUCAAGCGAAAAACACAACUGGAAAGACAAGUUCUACUGAGGGUUUUUACAUUCAGGUCUUGCUCUGAAUGCUCAAUCUAUUGAUUCCCUUAGGACGAGUUUUUUUCUUGAGAACGACCUAUAGGCAUUGCCUCUGUGGGGACUGUGCCUCAUUUUUUCAUGUGAAUAGAUAUUCUUAAGGAAAACACUCUAAACUCAGUUGCUCUUUUUGCUCUGGCUAUAGAAGAGCUGCAUGCCAUAAACACUUUGUAGGUUAAUUUUUUAGUUUAAAAAUUAUACACUAUAACUGUAUUUUGUUAAUAUUUUAAAAACUUAGAAUAAUUUCAUUUAACAAAAAAGCAGGAGUUCCCAUUGUGGCUCAGUGGUAAUGAACCUGAUUAGUACCAUGAGGAUGUAGGUUUGAUCCCUAGCCUUGCUCACCGGCUUAAGAAUCUGGUAUUGCUGUGAGCUGCAGUGUAUGUUACAGACGUGGCUUAGAUCCCACGUUGCUGUGGGUGUGGUGUAGGCUGACAACUGCAGCUCUGAUUUGACCCCUAGCCUGGGAACUUCCAUAUGCUGUGGGUGUCGCCCUAAAAUG
This 3598-nucleotide long non-coding RNA is filed under the name Sus scrofa (pig). Its description in RNAcentral is "lncRNA (ENSSSCG00000056097.1)". Lineage: Eukaryota; Metazoa; Chordata; Mammalia; Artiodactyla; Suidae. The record is from RNAcentral.